CUACGUGCCAGCAGCCGCGGUAAGACGUAGGACGCGAGCGUUAUCCGGAUUUACUGGGCGUAAAGCGCCUGUAGGCGGCUUUGUAAGUUGGGCGUGAAAGCCCCGUGCUUAACGCGGGGAGGCCGUUCAAUACUGCGGAGCUAGAGUACGGCAGAGGGGAGUGGAAUUCCUGGAGUAGCGGUAAAAUGCGCAGAUAUCAGGAGGAACACCAGUGGCGAAGGCGGCUCCCUGGGCCGAGACUGACGCUCAGAGGCGAAAGCUAGGGGAGCGAACAGGAUUAGAGACCCUGGUAGUCCUAGCCCUAAACGAUGGAUGCUAGGUGUGGGGACGAGGAGUUUCCGUGCCGGAGCAAACGCGAUAAGCAUCCCGCCUGGGGACUACGGCCGCAAGGUUAAAACUCAAACGAAUUGACGGGGGCCCGCACAAGCAGCGGAGCGUGUGGUUUAAUUCGAUGCUACACGAAGAACCUUACCUGGGUUUGACAUGUAGGUGGUAGCGAGGCGAAAGCUGAGCGACCCUUCGGGGAGCCUACACAGGUGCUGCAUGGCUGUCGUCAGCUCGUGCCGUGAGGUGUCGGGUUAAGUCCCGUAACGAGCGCAACCCUUGCUCCUAGUUAUACGUGUCUAGGGGGACUGCCGGCGGGAAGCCGGAGGAAGGUGGGGAUGACGUCAAGUCAGCAUGGCCCUUAUGUCCAGGGCUACACACACGCUACAAUGGCCAGUACAAAGGGUAGCGAAGCCGCGAGGUGGAGCGAAUCUCAGCAAAGCUGGUCGUAGUUCGGAUUGCAGGCUGCAACCCGCCUGCAUGAAGCUGGAGUUG
This 819-nucleotide ribosomal RNA is filed under the name uncultured organism. Its description in RNAcentral is "bacterial SSU rRNA". It matches the Rfam family "Bacterial small subunit ribosomal RNA", at positions 501 to 1334 of the family's 1533-position model. The record is from RNAcentral.